CGCACAUAUAGCUUCGAACAGCCCUGGGCUAACUCAGGGAUGUACACCCCAACCGGACGCCACUCGGUGUCUGUGGAGUUAUAGGUGCAGAGGCAGAGACAGAGACAAGAUGAGAUAAAAGACUCAUUCACACAGGCCCAAAGGCAGUACAGCUCCCUACCAUGGACAACGGGAGGAUACAGAAUGUUAAUACUACACAAGGGUUAAGACUGAGACUCUCUCCAAUACAACCCAACAUUACAGACUGUGAACCUGGCUGGCCUCGUUUAGCUGUGAGAGGUGGAUGACUCCCCUAUUAUCUCUCCCCUGAGAUAACACCGUUAAAGAUACCCACUUUCACUAAACGCAUGGGAGGAUACUUUGUUGUUCCCUUCGCUGGGAAGGCC
This is a long non-coding RNA of Oncorhynchus tshawytscha (Chinook salmon), 386 nucleotides long. The record is from Ensembl. Lineage: Eukaryota; Metazoa; Chordata; Actinopteri; Salmoniformes; Salmonidae.